Molecule: RNA transcript, 2072 nt
Organism: Pomacea canaliculata
Lineage: Eukaryota; Metazoa; Mollusca; Gastropoda; Architaenioglossa; Ampullariidae
Gene name: poly [ADP-ribose] polymerase 14-like
Exons: 4
Source: RefSeq, a predicted model, not a curated record
AAAAUCUGCUGUAAAGGAAUGUCUGGACACGGCGAAACAGCAUGAAGCAAAAAGCAUUGCGUUCCCCACCCUGGGUGCAGGUUUCCUGGGGUACCCACUCGAUCGAGUGGCCACGAUUUUGCUGAACUCCAUAUACUCGUGGGUCGACAGACACCGUGGUUAUCGCCUGCAAGAAGUUCAGAUCAUUGUCUUCACCAAUGACACGGCCGGCCUGCAGGUGUUCACGGCGGUACAGGACAGUAUUAAUGACAGCAAGGGACUAACAAGGACAGGAAGUGGUCGCCAGAGUUCGAAGCAGAAGCAAAGUUCGAACCCCCAAGCCCCACAAGCUACGAGUGGCAAUGCAACAGGUUUGUUGAAGCAGAAAUGCGGGCAUUUCCUUUGUGGUUGUAAGAAAUUUCGUAGAACACAUACAAACGGAAUUAAAUGUUUGAGAAAAGCAUGAGCACAAAAUUUAACCGUGUUUGAAUUGGCUCACUUUUUUCUUCACGGAUGUCACAUUCAGGAAGUGUGCAUACAAAGGAAAAGGACGACCGACCUCAGUGAAUAAGAACUGAGAUAUGUUUAGUAAGCAUGUUAGAGGUGGCUUUCAGGAAAGUGUUUAUAGGACCAUUGUUUCAAUACCAUAAAAGUUGCCGUGUCAGAAAGUUCAUGGGACUGGUCUUAUGUGCUAUUGGGUAUAUGCAUGUGUGUGUGUAUGUGUGUGUGUGUACAGUUCUUUCCCAGCCAAGCCACUGGGAGCCAAUGAACGGAGACAACGUCAAGUUGGUCGACUUGGAUCCCUCCUCUACCGAAUAUCAGCAAGUUGUGGGUCUCACUAGAGGAAUGGCUUGAAGAGUAUUCAGCGCGUGCAGAACCCAACCCUGUACCAGCAGUACAGAGCGAAGAAGAGAGAUAUGAAAAUGAACAACUCAUCCAACACAGCCAACGAGCAGCAACUGUGGCACGGCACCAACGCCGCAAACAUCAGCAGCAUCAUCACUAACGGUUUCAACCGUGGCUACUGUGGACAGAACGGCACGAAGUUCGGACACGGAGUGUACUUCGCGACUAACGCGGAUUUCAGCAACAGUUACACACACAGCGGUACUAUAUUCCUGGCUCUGGUGCUGGUAGGGGAAUCUACCCCGGGUAACUCGCAGAUGAGAGUCCCACCUAAGAAGCCAGGCUCGGACAGGUUGUACGACUCAGUGACCGGACCAGACAUGGUGGUCGUCUUCCAUGACGCCCAGGCCUACCCACAAUACCUGCUGACCCUGAAAACCCCGAGAUCUUAGACUAAUCACAUGGUCCAAAUGGCAGCAGCAGGGCCCUACAGCCUGCCAUCCAACCUUAGCAGUGGUAAUCCUGGGAACUGUGGGCAUUGUGGAUAUUCUGGUAAUUCUGUGUGUAUUGUGGGCAUUCUGGGAAUUCUAACAGUGGGAGCUUUGACAGUGGCGAUUCUGAUUAUGGAGAUAAUGAUGGUUGUGAUUUUGAUGACGGAAAUUUCCACUGAAGAAGUCUUGAGGGACAUGGUGAUUUUGAUGCAUAUCACGAUGAAUCUGUUGACAAUGAACAUUCAAGUGCAAAAUAUUUGGUUCUUUAGUUUUGUUCGACGCCUGUCCUUUACAAUCACAUUCCCUGUGACGAAAACAUACAUAUGAACAUCAUGUGACUGUAGUCUCUGCAUUUAAUUGCUGCACCACAAAGAGCACACAGAUCUUUCGCAUGUUUCAGACCAAACAACCGUGACUGGCUUUAGUAUAGAAACACUUUGUAUUAUCAAAACUGGACAUUAAGAACUUGUAUGAUGCAACAUUGUUUUCUGAAUCUGCCUAACAUGUAGUGCAAUGAUUUCUGUAAUUAUAGUGUACUCUGUAAUUUAUAUGCUAAUACAGUUUACAACCUGGAACUUCAGGUAGGUAUAUAGAGCAGAAUAUCAAAUAUAGCAUGUUAUUACUGAUUUUACAGUAAAUACUAAGUUGUGUGUUUAAACUAACCCUUGGAUCUGAAGUUUGUCAAAUAUCUGCCUUAGAAAUUCUUCAAACAGUUACUGUUACUUUGCUGGUGGAUUAAAGUUUUUUCUCUAAAGA